This 292-nucleotide ribosomal RNA is filed under the name uncultured bacterium. RNAcentral describes it as "partial 16S ribosomal RNA". It matches the Rfam family "Bacterial small subunit ribosomal RNA", at positions 505 to 796 of the family's 1533-position model. The record is from RNAcentral.
GUGCCAGCAGCCGCGGUAAUACGAAGGGGGCGAGCGUUGUUCGGAUUUACUGGGCGUAAAGGGCGCGCAGGCGGCGAUCUUUGUCAGGCGUGAAAGCCCCGGGCUUAACCUGGGAACUGCGCUUGGGACGGGAUUGCUGGAGACCGGGAGAGGAGAGUGGAAUUCCCAGUGUAGAGGUGAAAUUCGUAGAUAUUGGGAAGAACACCGGUGGCGAAGGCGGCUCUCUGGACCGGAUCUGACGCUGAGGCGCGAAAGCGUGGGGAGCAAACAGGAUUAGAUACCCUGGUAGUCC